GAUGAACGCUAGCGGCAGGCCUAAUACAUGCAAGUCGAGCGGGGGAUAGCAAUAUCUUUAGCGGCGGACGGGUGAGUAACGCGUACACAACAUGCCCUUGGUUGGGGGAUAGCCGGUGGAAACGCCGAGUAAUACCGCAUAAGACCACGUUCCGGCAUCGGGGAGUGGUUAAAGUUGAGGCGACCAGGGAUUGGUGUGCGUUCGAUUAGCUAGUUGGCGGGGUAACGGCCCACCAAGGCGACGAUCGAUAGGGGGUGUGAGAGCAUGGCCCCCCACACGGGUACUGAGACACGGACCCGACUCCUACGGGAGGCAGCAGUAAGGAAUAUUGGACAAUGGGCGGAAGCCUGAUCCAGCCAUGCCGCGUGAAGGACGAAGGCGCUACGCGUCGUAAACUUCUUUUGAAUGGGGACAAAAGCGGUGACGUGUCACUGUUUGAGGGUACCAUUAGAAUAAUCACCGGCUAACUCUGUGCCAGCAGCCGCGGU
This 488-nucleotide ribosomal RNA is filed under the name uncultured bacterium. RNAcentral describes it as "bacterial SSU rRNA". It matches the Rfam family "Bacterial small subunit ribosomal RNA", at positions 28 to 521 of the family's 1533-position model. The record is from RNAcentral.